This is a regulatory RNA element of 176 nucleotides. It matches the Rfam family "Lysine riboswitch aptamer". Rfam says of the family: Riboswitches are metabolite binding domains within certain messenger RNAs that serve as precision sensors for their corresponding targets. Allosteric rearrangement of mRNA structure is mediated by ligand binding, and this results in modulation of gene expression. The record is from Rfam.
AUAAAUCGAAGAGGUCGCGACUAACAUGAGUAACUAGUGGAGUUUCUGCAAAACUAAGAAACUAGUGAAAGGGGCAGUCGCCGAAGCGGCCAUGACGCAGAAGUGGUUUACGCUGGGACGUAGUUCAAGAAAUUACGGACUGUCGCAAUUUAUUUUGCGGAGCGCUAUCGACAAAA